RNAcentral lists this ribosomal RNA (253 nucleotides) under uncultured bacterium. Its description in RNAcentral is "partial 16S ribosomal RNA". It matches the Rfam family "Bacterial small subunit ribosomal RNA", at positions 524 to 776 of the family's 1533-position model. The record is from RNAcentral.
UACGGAGGGUGCAAGCGUUGCUCGGAAUUAUUGGGCGUAAGGGGUAGGUAGGUGGUCUCAUUUGUCUGGGGUGAAAGCCUUGAGCUUAACUCAAGAAGUGCCCCAGAAACGGUGAGACUAGAGUCCUGGAGAGGGUCGUGGAAUUCCCGGUGUAGCGGUGAAAUGCGUAGAGAUCGGGAGGAACACCAGAGGCGAAGGCGGCGACCUGGACAGGCACUGACACUCAACUACGAAAGCGUGGGGAGCAAACAGG